RNAcentral lists this ribosomal RNA (116 nucleotides) under Bacillus licheniformis. Lineage: Bacteria; Bacillati; Bacillota; Bacilli; Caryophanales; Bacillaceae. RNAcentral also lists the same sequence under 27 other names. The record is from RNAcentral.
UCUGGUGAUGAUGGCGAAGAGGUCACACCCGUUCCCAUACCGAACACGGAAGUUAAGCUCUUCAGCGCCGAUGGUAGUCGGGGGUUUCCCCCUGUGAGAGUAGGACAUCGCCAGGC